GGAAACUUUGCUGUUUUCACCGUUAGUGAGGAGCGGUCAAGGAUGCGUAUUAAGAAAAUAACUAGAAGUGGCCGCAUGAUGUACCUCUCACCAAUGAGAUGCCUGUCAAGGGUAUACGUGGGUCUUUUGAUGCACUAGGCUAGGAUGUUGGCGAAGAGUAGCAUAUGUAUCUUCAAUUUCAACCUAAGCCAAAAAAUAAAAAUAAAUAAGAAGAAGCAUCCCCAAGAGGCAAUGGCAAAUUGAAUAAGCAGGAUCUUAUUCACUGAUUUGAAGAGUUCAUGCAUGGAGCCAGUAGGCGGUACACAUGGGUAAAAACUGGCUGCGGCUAAACAGUUUCAGGGUCAUAUAGCUGUGAGAAUUGCGGUCAUGUACGUGAAGCUUUAUACCUAAGUGUCAGCACAUCAUUAGACAGAAAAGAAAGUUAUAUCACAAGGAAAAGAUUAAGCCCUGGUCACAUCCUGCAUCUUCUUCAGUAAACACUCUGGUUGGAUGACUUGAUGAAAGCCAACAAUCUUUUGAUUUCUCUCUUCACCUAUAUCAGCAGACCCAAAUACAGUUAAUAAAUGGUUAAAGGUUGAUAACCAUCACACCCAUUCCAACAACAUCCAUCCAAAUGGAAGAUGCCUUGAUUGCAACAGUAUCUGGGGAAUAAUGCUACGGGUGACUGAUAAACCCUGUUUUUGAUGAUGUUGAUGUGGAAUCUUUAUUUUAUUUUAUUAGCAUAUAUAAAAACCCAGUUGACAAAAUUUAUGAAAACUUCACACCUCCCUGGCCUAAGAUUUUUCCCUUGGUCUUAUUAAAUUUGAAAGCCACCUGCUUUAGGCUUCAUAAACUUUCACCUUUUAAAAUAACCACAGGCCAUUCUAUGUCCUUAGCUUUCUCUGCUACUGACCCUCAGUUA
This 901-nucleotide long non-coding RNA is filed under the name Pan troglodytes (chimpanzee). RNAcentral's name for it is "long non-coding RNA NONPTRT014180". Lineage: Eukaryota; Metazoa; Chordata; Mammalia; Primates; Hominidae. The record is from RNAcentral.